Molecule: long non-coding RNA, 800 nt
Filed under: Equus asinus (donkey)
Lineage: Eukaryota; Metazoa; Chordata; Mammalia; Perissodactyla; Equidae
Description: lncRNA (ENSEASG00005034529.1)
Source: RNAcentral
AGCACCUUUACAAUUAAAUAUUCAUUCCAUUUUUAUUAUUAUAGCUUAGCCUAGAGAAUUAAGUAAACAUGUGUUACUUCACUCCUACACACCGUUUAAACGCAGCUAACAGGCUUUCUGAAUAAACCAGCCCGCCCCCGGCGGUAUCAGGAGUUAGGUUCCGCAUAUGCUGUCGCCAGGCUGCAGCCGCCUGAGGGGACUCGCCCGGGGCCCCGCCCUCAGAGCUCACACCCGCCGUGCGCUCGCGCCCCAGGGGCCGCCCCCCGACACUCCAGUGCGACUCUGCGUGCACAGGCCAGAGGCUCAGAACCAGCGCCGGGCUGCCCUGCUCGGCCUCCUGGGCGCAGCGGCGUUUGCCCGUGCACGUGCCCUCGCAUCGCGCGCUCCGGGGCCGGGCUCCGGGCGGUUCUCGCCGCUGCAGUUCCACCGGGACUUCCGCGCUUCGGCGGCCUGUCUGACGAGCCGCCGCGCCCAGAGAGGUUCAGGUUGGAGCGACACUUGCCAGAGGGCAGCGGUCACGCCAGAUCUUCGGCUUCCAUUCCGUUUUCGCGCGCUUCUCCCUCUUUGCAAGGCUGAAUUCCAGGAUCUGAGAACACUCCUGUUUGCAGGCAAUGUUCUCCCCGGAAGGGCCAUAAGAGGAAUGGGCAGAACAUCCUGUUUGCAAGCCAGCUCAGCCGCAACUCAGCUCCAUGAAAUGUCCUGUAUGCAAGCACAUUCAUGUUCUUAGGCCAGAUCUCCUUCAAUGUUAUAUGUCUAUUAUAUCAAAAUUUUAAAUAAACGAAUCCAAGUGUAUACUUUAA